RNAcentral lists this ribosomal RNA (509 nucleotides) under uncultured bacterium. RNAcentral's name for it is "bacterial SSU rRNA". It matches the Rfam family "Bacterial small subunit ribosomal RNA", at positions 501 to 1009 of the family's 1533-position model. The record is from RNAcentral.
CUACGUGCCAGCAGCCGCGGUAAUACGGAGGAUGCGAGCGUUAUCCGGAUUUAUUGGGUUUAAAGGGUGCGUAGGCGGCCUGUUAAGUCAGCGGUGAAAUCUAGGAGCUUAACUCCUAAAUUGCCAUUGAUACUGGCGGGCUUGAGUGUAGAUGAGGUAGGCGGAAUGCGUGGUGUAGCGGUGGAAUGCAUAGAUAUCACGCAGAACUCCGAUUGCGAAGGCAGCUUACUAAGGUACAACUGACGCUGAAGCACGAAAGCGUGGGUAUCAAACAGGAUUAGAUACCCUGGUAGUCCACGCAGUAAACGAUGAGUGCUAGGUGUUAGACCCUUUCCGGGGUUUAGUGCCGUAGCUAACGCAUUAAGCACUCCGCCUGGGGAGUACGACCGCAAGGUUGAAACUCAAAGGAAUUGACGGGGGCCCGCACAAGCGGUGGAGCAUGUGGUUUAAUUCGACGCAACGCGAAGAACCUUACCAGGUCUUGACAUUGAKGACAGAACUAGAGAUAG